GGUUGUAUAGUGUAGCGGUUAUCACAUCGGAUUCUGAUUCAGUCUUCAUGACUCGACCAUUCCGGUAACCCCGGUUCGAUUCCGGGUACGACCU
Molecule: non-coding RNA, 94 nt
Organism: Cercophora newfieldiana
Lineage: Eukaryota; Fungi; Ascomycota; Sordariomycetes; Sordariales; Lasiosphaeriaceae
Source: the annotation of a GenBank genome assembly